This 485-nucleotide ribosomal RNA is filed under the name uncultured bacterium. RNAcentral's name for it is "partial 16S ribosomal RNA". It matches the Rfam family "Bacterial small subunit ribosomal RNA", at positions 30 to 507 of the family's 1533-position model. The record is from RNAcentral.
AUUGAACGCUGGCGGCAGGCUUAACACAUGCAAGUCGAGCGGGGGAAGGUAGCUUGCUACCGGACCUAGCGGCGGACGGGUGAGUAAUGCUUAGGAAUCUGCCUAUUAGUGGGGGACAACAUCUCGAAAGGGAUGCUAAUACCGCAUACGUCCUACAGGAGAAAGCAGGGGAUCUUCGGACCCUGCGCUAAUAGAUGAGCCUAAGUCGGAUUAGCUAGUUGGUGGGGUAAAGGCCUACCAAGGCGACGAUCUGUAGCGGGUCUGAGAGGAUGAUCCGCCACACUGGGACUGAGACACGGCCCAGACUCCUACGGGAGGCAGCAGUGGGGAAUAGUGGACAAUAGGGGGAACCCUGAUCCAGCCAUGCCGAGUGUGUGAAGAAGGCCUUAUGGUUGUAAAGAACUUUAAGCGAGGAGGAGGCUACUUUAGUUAAUACCUAGAGAUAGUGGACGUUACUCGCAGAAUAAGCACCGGCUAACUCUGUG